CGCGUAGGUAACCUGCCUUGUAGCGGGGGAGUAACUAUUGGAAACGAUAGCUAAUACCGCAUAACAAUGGAUGACACAUGUCAUUUAUUUGAAAGGGGCAAUUGCUCCACUACAAGAUGGACCUGCGUUGUAUUAGCUAGUAGGUGAGGUAACGGCUCACCUAGGCGACGAUACAUAGCCGACCUGAGAGGGUGAUCGGCCACACUGGGACUGAGACACGGCCCAG
RNAcentral lists this ribosomal RNA (226 nucleotides) under uncultured bacterium. RNAcentral describes it as "partial 16S ribosomal RNA". It matches the Rfam family "Bacterial small subunit ribosomal RNA", at positions 114 to 334 of the family's 1533-position model. The record is from RNAcentral.